GUAUUUCAACCCCGGUUCUCCACACCAUCCUCGCUUGAUCGUCGUUGCUCCUUACCCGGUGCCACCUCUACGUCCAGGCUCUCAUGUUCACUCACCCUCGUCAUCCGUUCAGUCGGCUGGGCUCAUCCUCCGCUCCUCACCUCUCGGGCUUCCUCCACGGCGCCCUCCCGGCUCCUCCCUGCUCCUCGCCUCACCACCCGUGCCUCGCCUGCUCCUCGGUCCUCCGUGCCCGCGUCCCCUGGCGUCCACCUCUCCUCCCUCACCUCUUCCCUAGCCCCCUCCGUGAACCCUCAAUAAAACCUCCUUCCCUCUGAGUGUUGCGUUUGGGUUCUUUCUGUCCCGUCCCCUAACAUCUACAAUAUUAACUAACAUUCAAAUCAUAAAAAAACUUUGAUCAAAA
Long non-coding RNA from Micropterus salmoides (largemouth bass), 400 nucleotides. RefSeq lists it as uncharacterized. The transcript is spliced from 2 exons. The record is from RefSeq and is a predicted model, not a curated record. NCBI's taxonomy places the organism in Eukaryota, Metazoa, Chordata, Actinopteri, Centrarchiformes, Centrarchidae.